UGGACAGGUAGCAGGGUGGGACACC
This 25-nucleotide non-coding RNA is filed under the name Cricetulus griseus (Chinese hamster). Lineage: Eukaryota; Metazoa; Chordata; Mammalia; Rodentia; Cricetidae. The record is from RNAcentral.